UACGGGGGGGGUAAGCGUUGUUCGGAAUUACUGGGCGUAAAGGGCUCGUAGGCGGCCAACUAAGUCAUACGUGAAAUCCCUCAGCUUAACUGGGGAACUGCGUGUGAUACUGGAUGGCUUGGAUUUGGGAGAGGGAUUCGGAAUUCCAGGUGUAGCGGUGAAAUGCGUAGAUAUCUGGAGGAACACCGGUGGCGAAGGCGGCAUCCUGGACCAAUAUUGACGCUGAGGAGCGAAAGCCAGGGGAGCAAACGGG
RNAcentral lists this ribosomal RNA (253 nucleotides) under uncultured bacterium. RNAcentral's name for it is "partial 16S ribosomal RNA". It matches the Rfam family "Bacterial small subunit ribosomal RNA", at positions 524 to 776 of the family's 1533-position model. The record is from RNAcentral.